This 22-nucleotide microRNA is filed under the name Octopus vulgaris (common octopus). RNAcentral's name for it is "Ovu-Mir-12580_5p (mature (guide))". The record is from RNAcentral. RNAcentral also lists the same sequence under 1 other name. Lineage: Eukaryota; Metazoa; Mollusca; Cephalopoda; Octopoda; Octopodidae.
AACCGCUUGUUGUUGCCUUCUU